This 559-nucleotide ribosomal RNA is filed under the name Hypomyces polyporinus. RNAcentral describes it as "LSU rRNA". It matches the Rfam family "Eukaryotic large subunit ribosomal RNA", at positions 78 to 664 of the family's 3401-position model. The record is from RNAcentral. Lineage: Eukaryota; Fungi; Ascomycota; Sordariomycetes; Hypocreales; Hypocreaceae.
CCCCAGUAACGGCGAGUGAAGCGGCAACAGCUCAAAUUUGAAAUCUGCUCCGGGCCGAGUUGUAAUUUGUAGAGGAUGCUUUUGGUGCGGCGCCAGCUGAGUUCCCUGGAACGGGACGCCACAGAGGGUGAGAGCCCCGUCACGCUGGACGCCAAGCCUAUGUAAAGCUCCUUCGACGAGUCGAGUAGUUUGGGAAUGCUGCUCAAAUUGGGAGGUAUAUGUCUUCUAAAGCUAAAUACCGGCCAGAGACCGAUAGCGCACAAGUAGAGUGAUCGAAAGAUGAAAAGCACUUUGAAAAGAGAGUUAAACAGUACGUGAAAUUGUUGAAAGGGAAGCGCUCAUGACCAGACUUGGGCUUGGCGAAUCAUCCAGCGUUCUCGCCGGUGCACUUCGCCUCGCCCAGGCCAGCAUCAGUUCGUCGCGGGGGACAAAAGCGCCGGGAACGUGGCUCCCCCGGGAGUGUUAUAGCCCGGCGCACAAUACCCUGCGGUGGACUGAGGUUCGCGCAUCUGCAAGGAUGCUGGCGUAAUGGUCAUCAGCGACCCGUCUUGAAACACGG